CCGGCCAUAGCAAGAACAAAGAGAGGAAAAGAAGAACAAGAACCCUAAGUAGAAAAAUUGAAGAAAAAGUGUGGGAUUUCAAGGGAUUAAGCUAAUAAAGGUAAAAAUCCUUGAUUUUAUCUUGUGAUUUACAUUACCCAUGCUUUCUUUUUCAUUUUCCAUGCUUAGAACUCAAGAUUUCAUGAGGACACCCUUGCUGGUCGAACACCUAGGAGAGAGAAUUUGAUGAUGUUUUGGUUAGAUUCUAAGAUAUUCUAGUGUUUUUAGUUAGUUAGUGAUGUGUAGCAUAAAAAGCCAACAAGAAAAAUUCAUUUUCUCCCAUUACCCAUCAUUGACUGAAUUUUCUAGGGAGGAUAUUGAGGCUGAAAUUGAUGAUAUUUCAUGAUAUUUUGGUGGUGUUUAAUGAUUGGUGAGGCUAGAAAUUUAAUGGGAAAUUUUGGCAUGAAAAUCUAAAUUUUUACCUAAUGGAUAGGCAUGUGCGAUUUAUGAUUUAGACUGAUAAAUUGAAUCGUAUUCACAGUCAUGGAGGUAUUUUAAGUAUAAUUGGAGUGUAGAAAGUGAAAGAAAUCGAUUUAGAGUUAAAUUAGAGGUUUUAGCCAAUUACACCGAGAAUAGUACGAAUUAGGUCGAGUACCGUAUUUAAACGACUAUUCGAACAUUUUGCAUCACAUUUCGUGCAUUCAUAUAGAUUUAUAGAGCCUAAAAUAGUUUAUGAUAAAUUGACACAAUUUAUUGAAAUUCGUGUCAUGUAUGACGUAUAGGUGGUGAGCCCUCUAACAAGGGUAAAGAGAUUGUGCCCGAAGACCAGAAAUAGGAGUAUAUCGAACUCCUAGUACAGUGAGUAACCUUACUAUCAUUUUAAUUAUCUAAAGUAUGUUUUUAUUCAGUUUUGGUGAAAUUUUAUGAAAAUGAGUUUAAAUGGUAAAUCUUUGUGUUUUACAAACAAAAUGUGUUUACAGGAAACGAUUUUAUAAAUUUUCUUGAAAUUGAAUAAUAAUUUUGAAAAAUAGAGUAGUUGGAGACCACUUGUUAUGUUGUAAAUUUAUUAUUUGAAUCGAAUGGCUUAUGACAAUAUUUGCAUGAAUGACUGAAUUGGUAUUUGUAUUGAAAUGUAUAAACUGUUGUUUGCCUUGAAAGGCUGUGAAUUAAAAUAAUUGCCAUGUCAUGCUAUUGUAAAUUUUAUUGAAUUAGUGGAUUAUAUAUUAAUUAAUCACUGCAGUAUGGGGUUUUUGUGGACCAGCCUUUUAGAGGGGCACGGUAAACUCCAUUAUUUCUUACCUCGAUCGGAGAGGCACAUAGGGGAUCUCUCGAGGUACAGUUUAGGGUUCACUUCACGCUAAACCACCACGUGAGAGAGAACUCAGCCAACGCCAAGGAACGAUUGUGAUGUCCAACGAAAAAUGUGUUUUAUGCGAAAUAUGAAUUUUUAACAGCCUUGGCAGACUAGGUUGGAUGCCCUACACAAGGUAUCAUCAAGUAUGAGUUUUGGCAUGAGCCAAAGUUUUAAGAAAUUCAUUAGCCAAGUUUAUUACUCGAUUUAUAUGAAUUGAUUUUAUUUGGUUGAAAUGAGUUGAAAGGUAAUGAAAUUAUAGUAUGAUGACUUACUUUAAUUGUCUCCAUUUACUCAACUUUAGAUAGUUUAGAUGGUAUCUGUUUACUCACUGGGAUUUUAUAAUUCACCACCCUCCUUUUCAACCAUUUCAGGGCUAAGGUAGCUUGUGGAUAGCAGCUAUCGUUAAGGAUUAUAGUCGGCUUUAUUACUCCAAAAACUGUAGGUUUACUGCCUUUGUGCACUUUUGUUCCUUGUGGGCCCACGAGUCACUGUAAAGUAAAUUUUAUAUUCUGGUUAUCUAUAUUAUAGUACGUAUGAAUUUAUUUAGCUUUUACAUUACAAAAAUUAUUUAUUGAUGACUCUAUAAAUAUUAUUUUACAAGAAAUUAGAAUAUUUUAUUGAAUAUUUUAUUUUAUUCAAAUAGUUGCAAUAUCAUUUUUAAUAAAUGUUUAGACACCCAACUUUAUUUUAAAUCAUGAAAUAUGUGUUUUAUACUCAUCUACUACAUUUUUAGUUGGGAUCGGAAAAUUUUGAGAAAAAAUGAUGAAAACGCCCUUGUGAGGCGAAAAUUAUUUUUCCAUGGUUUUGAAGGGGAAAAAGCUUAAAAUUCUUUAAAAACGAGGUUUGGCGAUGAUUACUCACAGGGGAGUCGAGAAAAUGGUACUAAAGCCUUACGGGGUUCCGAUUGGCAUUUCGGAUAACGAAUGUCUACUGGGACGUCGCGGCGGUUAUCACGGGCUCGAAGGGAGUACUGGGUCAUGACAAUUAGAUUGGUAUCAGAGCUUUUGGUUUUAAAGUUGUUUUAAAGUUUAUAGUGUCAGUGUGGCCCAAGUUAAGUUAGGUUUGAUAGAAUAGAAUACGUGCAUCUGCAUACAGAAUUUGGAGUUGUUAAGACUCGUUUUGUUUCUUCUUAUAGAUCUUGUGGGAGUAUAAGUCAUAGACAGGGAGCUAUAUGAACUCUUGUUCCCAAUAAUCCAGUUCCUUGUUAAUGUCAUGUAAAGGUCAUAAGUAGGGUCGUUGUCCGGGUUUAAGAUGCCACUUGUGACACGUGCGAGUGUUGGAGAAAUCUUCCAACGAAUGCUCCUAAUGAAAGAUUAAUGAAAUGAUAUAUCCCUCCGAUUAAGGAUGGAGAAAUCUGGAGUUGGACUAAUAGGUCGUGAUAAUUUAUUCAUUUGGUGCAGUUAUAAUUGAACUCAUGUUUGUCAAUUAGAAAAAGAUUUGGGGACUAUGGAUUGUAUUGGAAUUAAUAUAAAGGAACACGUGUGAUAAUGGUAAUAAGGGGCGCACUUUGAUUAGAAUGAAUAGUUAUGGUUGUAAUUCACUUGGAGUAUAUAAAUUAAGCAUUGAAGUAAGAGUAAAC
This 2912-nucleotide long non-coding RNA is filed under the name Theobroma cacao (cacao). RNAcentral describes it as "long non-coding RNA (TCAC_LNC004643)". The record is from RNAcentral. Lineage: Eukaryota; Viridiplantae; Streptophyta; Magnoliopsida; Malvales; Malvaceae.